GAUCUUCCCGGACCAGGGCUCGAACCCGUGUCCCCUGCAUUGGCAGGCAGAUUCUUAACCAUUGUGCCACCAGGGAAGUCCCUAGCGUAAAUAUUUGAGAUGCAUCCAUAUUAUUGCAGGCACCAUGAGCUUGUUCCCUCUUAUUGCUGAGUAGUAUUCCAUGAAAUGAAUGUACUGCAAUUUGUUUAUCCAUUCAACAGUUGAUGGACGUUUGGAUUGUUUCUAGUUUUUGGUUAUUAUGAAUAAAACUGCUGGGGGGCUUCCCUGGUGGCGCACUGGUCUGGGAGGAUCCCACAUGCCGCGGAGCGGCUGGGCCCGUGAGCCAUGGCCGCUGAGCCUGCGCGUCCGGAGCCUGUGCUCCGCAGCGGGAGGGGCCACAACAGUGAGAGGCCCGCGUACCGCAAAAAAAACAAAACAAAAAACGUGCUGGGAACAUUUGAGUAGGAGACUUGUGUGUAUAGUAAUGAAAUGCACAUUUUCAUUUCUCUUCGCUAAAUACCUGAGAGGGAUUGGUGAGUAUGUAUAUUUUUAACUUUAUAAAAACUGCCAAACUCUUUUCUGAUGGGUUUGAGAAUGGGCUCUACCAUUUUGCGUUCCCACAGUCAAACGAAUGAGGGCUCUGGUCUCUGCACAUCCUUGUCAGCAUCCUAGUCAGCGUAGUUUAAAAAAUUUUAGCCGUUCAAUGGGUGGUGUAAUGGUGUCCCAUUGUGGUUUUAAUCUGCAUUUCCUUAGAUGUUAAGCAUCUUCUCCUGUGUUUGCAAUUUGUAUAUCUUUAGUGAAAUGUCUAACGUAGUUUUUUUGUCCUGUUUUUUAGUUGUUUUCCUUGUUGAGUUUCACGGAUACAAGUCUUUUAUCAGACAUGUUUUGUAAAUAUUUUCUCCCAAUCUGUGAGAGAAAGCAGUCUGCCUCGUUCCUGAUUGCACAGUGAGAACAUUCAGUCUUCACCAGUAAGUACAGCCUUUGCUGUGGGUUUUUUGGUAGCUGCUCCUUACCCAGUUGAAGAAGUUUCUUUCUAUUCCUAGUUUGCUGAGAGUUCUUAACAUGAAUCGAUGUUGAAUUAUGUCAAAUACUCUUUCUGAAUCUGUUGAGAUGAACUUGUGUUUUCUCUUUUUGCAUUUGUUAAGAUGGUGAAUGACAUCAAUUGGUCUUGAAUAUUAAACCAACUUCGCAUUCCUGCGAUGAAUUCCACUUGAUCAUAAGACUGUGAAGUGAUGGCCACGUGUGAUCUGAGGUGUGGUCGAGCUUCAUCUUCUCCACACGGAUGCACAACAUCCCAACGCCUUCUGUGAUGGAGACCGUCUUUCCCCUCCCCUGCUCUGUAGCACCACCUCUGUCACAAGUGCAAGAAGUGUGAAUCUGCCAGUCUUUCUGGGGUGUUCACGCCAUUGGUCUCCUGGCCCCCUUGGGGGAGAUCCUGCCCACUGAGACACAGUCUUCAAUCCCCCAGAGACUGGGAUGCUCUGAAGCCGGGCUCGGUGCCUGGGGCCUGGCUCCCUUGACUCUCGGCAUUCUUGGAGGGGUUGCCCGCUUCUUGACGGGUGCGUCCUGACCCCAGGCUCGUCCCCCUGACCCCACAUGGCUGGCCAAAGCUCGCUCAGCCAUUGUUUCCAGUACCAGCAGCUCCGUUCUCCUUUGUUUUCUUAUAUGUUGUCCGGCCCUUCUAGAUGUUCUCAGCGGGACAGGAACUAGCCCUUGAUGACAGGAAACCCAGAGUCUAGUCAGGCUUAAUUUAAGGGAAACUAGCGUAGAUCUAAGGACAGCUCGUCUACUCAGAGGCCGUGAUGAAAAGCGUCUUGGUCUGUGCUGUCACAGCCGAGUGACAUCAACAGAGCGCCUCGACUGGAUAAAUGACGUCUCCAGAGGGAUGGGCUCGGCUGCUCUCGACUCUCUUUCAUCUGAGAUCUGUUGCUUUACUGGGUCUUCUGGACGUUCAGGGAAGAGAGGAGGCUGCUUUGCCACAGAAACUCGAUUUGCCCAUCAGAAGCCAUGUGGAAUGUGAGCUCCUGGCUGUGGAUCGCUGGACUGCCCUGCAAGGUCACGAACCUCGGAGGGUGAAGGACGGGGGUGCACGGAUGCCGCCACCGCCAACUCCUGAUGCGGACAGGCCGAACACGGGGCGACCGGACUCAAAGGCUCUCUUCUGCCCAGAACUGAGCUCCUUUGUUCCCAACACUAUAACCUUGAAGCAACACUCUGCUGCAACUCUCUGCAAGUCAGAAUUAAGUAAAAGCAUUUGGACAGUUGUACGCCUGUGACACAGGGCCGUCUUUGUUUACCCCCAGGCCUGGGCAGCGACCCUGUCUUCUUGCUGUUAUCACUCUGACGCAGCUCGUAGGGGCCUUGAAAGUCUGUGGGACUGUCCGACCACUCCAAGCAGGAAGAGCCGUGUUGUCAGAUGUGCACAUCAGCAUAGGAGGUGCAGCCAUCCCAUCCCGGUGACAGUGGGCUUGAUCCGACCAAAGACAGAAGCGCAGGGCCUUUAUCCACCGGACGUGAGGAUGGCGAGGCCGGACGGGGACUCGGCCCCUCACGGCCCCGCUCCAGCCUCUGAGUCCACAGAGAGGCCGCACCUCAUUGCUCAGGGUUCCGCCCUCCAACAGUAGAAAACCACCUGGUCCCCGUCCACCCUCAUCCUGCCAUCGCCCUUCCACUUCAGCGCUGACCCUGACCACAAGUCUUAAGCUCUCAGAUUGUUCCAAACACAGCAGCGACAUAAACAACCAGGUCCUACUGUACAGCCCAGGGAGCUGUAUUCAAUGUCCCGUGAUAAACCAUAAGGGAAAAGAAUAUGAAAAGGAACGUAUAUAUGUGUAUAACUGAAUCCCUUUACUGUACAGCAGAAAUUAACACAACACUGUAAAUCAACUAUACGUCAAUAAAAUUUUAAAAACAAACAAACAGCAGUGACAAAGCAGGGA
Long non-coding RNA from Orcinus orca (killer whale), 2918 nucleotides. RefSeq lists it as uncharacterized. The record is from RefSeq and is a predicted model, not a curated record. Lineage: Eukaryota; Metazoa; Chordata; Mammalia; Artiodactyla; Delphinidae. The transcript has 2 exons.